This 287-nucleotide long non-coding RNA is filed under the name Ixodes scapularis (black-legged tick). Its description in RNAcentral is "uncharacterized LOC120838009". The record is from RNAcentral. Lineage: Eukaryota; Metazoa; Arthropoda; Arachnida; Ixodida; Ixodidae.
UCGAAGCCAGGUUGACCACGUGACCGUAUGUCAACGGACCGUCAAGGCCUGUUUCAUCGGACCGCCCUGCCGAUCUCUCGGCGUGGAGGAAACGUAAACAAAGGAGCUGUGCGCACCUGCUUUAAACAGAAGGCAGAAAACAAUGAGCCAGCCAUCAUCGUGCAGGAAGCCGACGCCAAAUGGGCUGCUGCUGAAUCGGUCAGGCAUGCACCAGCUAGGACCAAGAAAAUGGAGCAGUGUGCCUCUUCUCAGGAGUGACUGAGGGGCUGCCACAAGGGGAGAAGGCA